UCAAGCCAAAUGUGCUCUACAAGGACAAUAAAAGACAUGCUAGCAUCGUUUGCUCAAACACAAUUGAUAGAGAAAAGGGGAAAAGAUGUUGUGAACAUACCAAAGUCCAUAAGAAGUGCGCCAUUUGGAAUGCAUUCUGGUUGGUCAACAAGCAGAGACAAUCAGUCAGAAAGGUUCUUUAACAUCUCCUUUUUAUAUCUUUAGUUUCAUGACUAUGAAAAUUCAUUUACGGCAGGCAAAAGUCGGCCCGAACUACCUCAAACAAAGUAAGAUGUAUGAGAAAGAGAAUCCAUUGAGGUCGAUUGAACCAGAAAUACUUGUUGCUUGGCUCCACGAUCGGAGCUCCUUUUAUAACACUUGUUCGGUCUUGAAUUUCACGGGCCAUUUCCAUGAUGACGAUUUCCAGCUUCAUCCCGACCAGCAAGAGAACCUGGAAAGGACAUGCUGUUACUCCAGUAACUAGAAAACCCAAAUCAGAAAGGUAAUAAGAAACAGCAAUGAAACAGCUUACUAUCAGCGGUACAAAAGAGAUCCAAA
This 537-nucleotide long non-coding RNA is filed under the name Ananas comosus (pineapple). RNAcentral describes it as "long non-coding RNA (ACOM_LNC014085)". Lineage: Eukaryota; Viridiplantae; Streptophyta; Magnoliopsida; Poales; Bromeliaceae. The record is from RNAcentral.